GGACGUGAAGUCGACGAUGGUCGGUGGGCUGGUUUUGGUAAGCAGAACGGGCGAUUCGGGAUGAACCGGAAGCGGGGAGAAAGGGCCCGAGAUUGCGUCGACGCGGAUCCCGAAAAGGGCGUCGAUCCGUCGCGACAGCGGGACGGUGGUCAUGGAAAGUCGAAAUCCGCUAAGAAGCGUGUAAAAACGUACCCGCCCAACGGAUCGGCCCCGAAAAUUGAUGGCGCUCGAACGCAACCCUCGAACCCCGCCGACGGAGGCUAGGGGAGGCCCCGUCGAGUAGGCGGACGCGCGGGUCGCUUCGACGCUCCCGCGCGAGCGGGGCGGAGCGGCCCGUGGUGCAGAUCUUGGUGGUAGUAGCGAUCACCCAGGCGAGAACCCUGAGGGCCGAAGUGGAGAAGGGUUUCUCGAGAACGGCACUCGCUCGAGAGUUAGUCGAUCCUAAGCUGCCGGCGGCAGCCACGAAACGGUCGAUCGGGCGCGAGCCCGGCAGCCACGACCGGGCAGCGAAAGGGAAUUGGGAACCUCCUUCCCAAACCCGGAACCGGAACGAG
Molecule: ribosomal RNA, 554 nt
Filed under: uncultured eukaryote
Lineage: Eukaryota
Description: eukaryotic LSU rRNA
Rfam family: Eukaryotic large subunit ribosomal RNA
Source: RNAcentral